GAUGUUUGGAAAAUCAAGUUGAGGUUAUUAUAAAGAAUCAUUGUUGGUUGAGGAAUGAAUGGAAGGCUGUGGAAACAUAAUUGGAGAAAGUUAGAAUUAGAAAGGUAAGAAAUUCUGCAUAAUUUUCGUAGGACCUGUGUUCAGUAAUUAAUAUGUAUCUGUCAAACCGUAACUUGGUUUUGAAUGGUAUUUACAUGUCUGGAAAGCUGACAGAAUUACCUUCGUUAUGGUGUCAAACUCGUGGAAUUUUACUGAGAAUUGAGAUCUGGAGACCAGUUUGAAGUUGAGGGUCUGAUAUGGAAAUUGUGCAGAAAAUUCUGUUUACUGGUCUAAACUGUUUUUGCUGCAAAUUCUGCAUUUCGGCGAGUUCCAGAAAUAUCGGUUGUAUUGUUCAAGCGUCAACUCAGGUGGGUUCCCUUAGAGCCUUAAACUCUAGUUAGUUUAGCCUCAUUAGUUUUCCCAAAAUUUAUGCAUGAUAACAUUAGUCUAGAUAGGAUAAUAGUAUCCCCAAUUUAUGAUAAAAAGUAUGACAACAUUAAGGUUUAGGAUGAAUUAGUGUAUGAGAAGAGCUUAAUCCCAAAGUUCUUCUCCAUUUUAAUCAUUUAAUCCAUUAUAGUGUGCAUAGCUAUUAGAAAGAGGGGUUGUAGGUGAAUUUAUGCAUUGUUUAGCGAGAAUAGCAAAUCAGUCUUUUUAAAAUGCGAUGCUUUCACUCUUUUUAGAUCCGUGGCCCUUCUAGAUAUUUUCUGUGGAUACUGUAAGUACAUUAAAUAAUUAGAAUGUUAAUUACACGUUAGGUACAUGAUAAUCAGGAAAUCAAGACAAGUUAGUAUUACCCCGGGAGGGAAUUCAUGGGCAGGAUAACAAUCAUGAUUAUUAAGUUAAGUCAAGAAAGUCAAUCAAUUAUGGUGGUUACUUAUGUACCACGUUAUGGGAUUCGUUAGAAUCCAAUCAUGUUAUGAUUGUGAGCUUCAGCCGUGUCGAUGUACAUUAUUAUCGCAGACGGACAUGUAAGGCCUCUAAGACCGGCUCACCUCAGAGUGUCUUUGUUAUGAAUAAAACGAACAAGAUAAAUAAUUUGUGUUACACCUUAUGUAUUAUGUUAUGAAAUUAUGUUAUGUAAAUCAUGUUUAGAGAUUGACUAUCAGGAUCAAGGAACAUUAGUUCAUAAGUUGCCCCCGGUGUAGACACCAAUAGUAAUUGGGUAGUAGGAAUCCACUGAGACGAAGUGACUGUCUCAUCCCCCACUUAUUUGAUUUCAGAUAAACAGGUUGAUCGAGAUAUCAUGGUCUGCAAGCCUAGAGUUUCGGAUUAUGCUAGUUGAGCCGACAUCAUGUUAUCUUAUAUUGUGAAUAAGAUUUAGUUUCUUUAUGUUUUCGGUUGUUAGCUCAAUUUAGUAUUAAUCACUUGGAUUUUUGUAAUCCUAUUUAUGUAUUCGGAUGAUAUGUAAUGAAAAUUUAAUGUUUCCCGAUUCAGUUAUGUACACUCUUGUCGAUAUUCUAGAUAAAUUGACAUGGGAUGUUAUAGGCACAGUCUUCGGAUAGGUGACAAUGUCAGUCGGACCCCGAUACGGGCUACACGGUCUGGGGCACGUAUCAGCUCUUGACUAUUGUUGAUCCGGUUACUUUGGAUGACGCAGAGCAUUUCGUUUAGCACCCCCAGGUUCCGUUGAAGCUUUCCAUUUUUGCGUUUUUAUGCGAUUUCUUUUAUUUCUAUAUUUCAUUUUUAUACAGGUUUUUUUUUAUAUUCUUUCUAUAAUUUUUUUAUCAACUAAACUUUCUAUUAUUUUUU
RNAcentral lists this long non-coding RNA (1788 nucleotides) under Trifolium pratense (red clover). Its description in RNAcentral is "long non-coding RNA (TPRA_LNC013003)". The record is from RNAcentral. Lineage: Eukaryota; Viridiplantae; Streptophyta; Magnoliopsida; Fabales; Fabaceae.